RNAcentral lists this small RNA (544 nucleotides) under Pan troglodytes (chimpanzee). Its description in RNAcentral is "retained intron". The record is from RNAcentral. Lineage: Eukaryota; Metazoa; Chordata; Mammalia; Primates; Hominidae.
GUUGUCCCGGCAACGCGCGGCGGCUCAGUGGCCUGGCAGAGGUUUCAGCGCUGAGCAGGCCUGAGUUCCGUCAUGGCCCUCUAUUUUGACCACCAGAUAGAAGCCUCAGAUGCAGCGGGGUCACCCUCAUACAUCAGCUGGCACCCUGUCCAUCCAUUCUUGGCAGUUGCUUACAUCAGCACAACCUCAACAGGCAGCGUGGAUAUUUACCUGGAGCAAGGGGAGUGCGUGCCAGAUACACAUGUCGAGAGGCCGUUCCGGGUUGCUUCCCUGUGCUGGCACCCGACGCGGCUGGUGCUGGCUGUGGGCUGGGAGGCUGGAGAAGUGACGGUGUUUAACAAGCAGGACAAGGAGCAGCACACGAUGCCCCUGACACACACAGCCGACAUCACCGUGCUCAAUUGGAGCCCCAGUGGAAACUGCCUGCUGUCUGGGGACAGGGUGAGUCAACACACGCAAGAUGCUGUUUUCAGACCUUGGCCUUUUCUGACCAUGCUCGAGAGUAUGAAAGAUCAAAAUAUGUGAACUGUGUUGUUGCCAAAUU